Molecule: ribosomal RNA, 345 nt
Filed under: uncultured bacterium
Lineage: Bacteria
Description: bacterial SSU rRNA
Rfam family: Bacterial small subunit ribosomal RNA
Source: RNAcentral
AGAGUUUGAUCAUGGCUCAGGAUGAACGCUAGCGACAGGCUUAACACAUGCAAGUCGAGGGGCAGCGAGGGAGUGGCAACACUUCCGUCGGCGACCGGCGCACGGGUGAGUAACGCGUAUGCAACCUGCCCUUCACAGGGGGAUAACCGGGAGAAAUUCCGACUAAUACCGCAUACGUCCUCCGGGGCAUCCCGGGGAUGAAGAAUUAUCGGUGAAGGAUGGGCAUGCGCGAUAUUAGGUAGUUGGCGGGGCAACGGCCCACCAAGCCCACGAUAUCUAGGGGUUCUGAGAGGAAGGUCCCCCAGAUUGGUACUCGAGACACGGACCAAACUCCUACGGGAGGCA